UGCCAGAUCCGCCACAAAUACAGGAAAUCCACUGUUCACACGGACAGAGUCUCCCCUGUAUUUGCACGGCGUCGCACAAGUACAAGAGUAUAGCCAGGAAACAACCACAACCAAAUGAAUAUAAAGAUAACUAUACAUUCAUACAUUCACCAUUCACAUCACAGUUUUACAUUCAGUGUUUAAAUAGAAAUUCACGAAAAUUCUUUUGAAAACUGUUCCCUACACGGAAACCUUUAUUCUUUAAGAAACGCUACCACGAGGGGUAGAAAACCUUUUAUUUCAAGAAAACACAAUUCCUUUAUUACAUUCCAAAACCAACUGAAAACUCAGAUAUUCAAAUAAUAAAACAAAACUGAACCAUGUAAACCGACUAAGCUAUAUAUAUCCACAGAAAUAAAAAGGGUAAUAGCUAAAUCGAAAUAACCUGGGUCGGAAGCUCUAUCGACCGCUACACACGUACCUCACGUCUCGUCCCACUACUCAACGCCCGCGAUACCUGAAAAAUGGUGGGGGAGGUGAGAACAUGUAAACAUGUCUCCCCUCCCAGUGGGUACCGCAAGCCGAAGAAGGCGAGGAGUACUCACCGGAUCAGGAAGAACUAUACAACAACAUGGGUCAGUGGAAAUAAACAAGGUAAUGAGCAGAUAUACAAUAGCGAUAAACUGAAAGGAAGUAAGAACUAUACUGAAUAAACGGCUACCGCUACUGUAACUGGAACAGAAAGCAUACAUGAAUAUCUACUAUAGUAGCAAGACAACUAUAAAGUAAGAUCUGUAAGUAUGCAUGCAACGACUGCUACUAUAAACAUAUGCGUCAAUGGGACAAUCAGUCCAAAAGUACCCAAUCUGAAACCAAUGCUCUCUUGGUCAGCACCGCAGACCUCAAGCCAAUGCCCUGGAGGUCCGCACCGCAACACCUCCCGACAGUACCACUGCCGCUCUAACAUGCAUAUAACCCCUCUAGGGCUCACGGGUUGUCACCAUUCAACCACUUUUCCGGAAAAGAACACUCCUUGCGGUGGAUCAGACCGCCAGUGUUCGUGAAAUGCGACGAGUAUCGGGCGAUCAAUGCAAUAUGGUCAAUGAUCAACCGUCGGCAACCAGCCGACAAUCCUGCCCCCCAGGGCCUAUCGACCGCAUAGGUCAUCAACUGUAAAGAAGCACAAGAACCGACCACUCAGGUCAACUAGGAUGGGACAACAUCGACAUCCUCUCAAACAUAUGCAAAUACUGACUAAUCAAGUCAACUGGGAUGGAACAACUCAACAUCCUACCCACAGUAUGUAGAUACUGAUCAAUGAGUCAACUACUGUAUAUAUGCAAGAAUCGGUCAACAAGUCAUCUGAGUAUAUGAUCUAGAACUACCGUCGGCCACUAGUCGACAAUCCUACCCCUCAGGGUACACCGACCUCAAAGGUCAUCAAACAACAAGAGUCAAGGAACAAACCGACUAUAUACAGAUAUAAGAUACAAGAACGAAUCAACUAGGUCACCGAUUUCACAUAAAAUCACGAAACCGCUCUACUCUAAACAUGAUACAGGAUAUGCAGAAUAGCUAAGUAGAGCAACAAAGAAAUAUGGUAUAACUACUCUACUCCUACUCAUGAUAUAAAGAGAACAACCGAGUAGAGUGUAACUGAACAACAUGGUGCUAGGCUCAACACUAUAUAUCAAGAUAUAUAUAUGCUAGAUAAUAACGAAAGAGCAAAGGUAAGAAACCAUCACCGAGCGUGCACCACUGUACCGACGUCGGAUCGAAGUACCCACCUGUACAACUGUCGCGCCUGUCUCCUGACUGCAAAAGAACGUCAACAGGACCUAUGGAGGGUCCACUGGGUUAGUGUCUAACCCACAACUAAGAAAUACUACAUCAUAAUCCCACUAACAAAUCCACGGAGAUCAGUUUCCCAAAACCGACUACCGUAACUCGUCGGAAGUCCCGAAAAUCGCACCGGGACUCCGUCGGGACCCACGAACUGUCCCGAAAUGUUCCGACUCAUGAUACGAGUCACCCGCUGCCACAAAACACACCAAUUUGGAUGUCUUGGCAGCAAACACAAGUUAACACAACUACACAAUUAUCGCCGGAUAAUUGUACGAACUCGGGUUCCCGAAAGUGUCAAAUUCGACACCGGAACCCACCGUCGCUCACUCGUCAUUUCUGAACUCUCGAAAUGACGCAAGUGACCAGCAAACAAGGCUCGGCGACUACACAAUAGCUCACGAAGCACCGUCGGAAUAAUUCCGAACCGAACCCGCGUUCCGUCGGCGGAUUUCGCCGAGAAACGCAUCGGAAAUCACUUUUCGGUCUCCGUAAGGGCUUGGGGCCUUGGACAAUCAGUCCAGAGGUUACCCACUACUCACCCAUGCUGCCAACAGCAGCCACAACAACCCAAAAUACAUAAAAGCCCUCCCGAUUACCCGAAAUCGCAUUAUUUCAUGCGAUUUCGGCGCUUUUAUGGUCCGUCUGCACAAACCAGAAAU
RNAcentral lists this long non-coding RNA (2483 nucleotides) under Ananas comosus (pineapple). RNAcentral describes it as "long non-coding RNA (ACOM_LNC013258)". Lineage: Eukaryota; Viridiplantae; Streptophyta; Magnoliopsida; Poales; Bromeliaceae. The record is from RNAcentral.